This 458-nucleotide ribosomal RNA is filed under the name uncultured bacterium. RNAcentral describes it as "partial 16S ribosomal RNA". It matches the Rfam family "Bacterial small subunit ribosomal RNA", at positions 338 to 795 of the family's 1533-position model. The record is from RNAcentral.
CCUACGGGUGGCUGCAGUGGGGAAUAUUGCACAAUGGGGGAAACCCUGAUGCAGCGACGCCGCGUGAGUGAAGAAGCAUUUCGGUACGUAAAGCUCUAUCAGCAGGGAAGAAAUACUGACCUUAUGGUCAGCAGACGGUACCUGACUAAGAAGCACCGGCUAACUACGUGCCAGCAGCCGCGGUAAUACGUAGGGGGCAAGCGUUAACCGGAUUUAUUGGGUGUAAAGGGAGCGUAGACGGCAGGGCAAGUCUGAAGUGAAAUCCCAGGGCUUAACCCUGGAACUGCCUUGGAAACUGUGGAGCUGGAGUGCAGGAGAGGUAAGCGGAAUUCCUAGUGUAGCGGUGAAAUGCGUAGAUAUUAGGAGGAAUAUCAGUGGCGAAGGCGGCUUACUGGACUGUAACUGACGUUGAGGAUCGAAAGCGUGGGGAGCAAACAGGAUUAGAUACCCUUGUAGUC